This 109-nucleotide small RNA is filed under the name Marmota monax (woodchuck). The record is from RNAcentral. Lineage: Eukaryota; Metazoa; Chordata; Mammalia; Rodentia; Sciuridae.
GCUGGGCAUAGUGGCAUACGCCUGUUAUCCCAGCUACUUGGGAGGCUGAGGAAGGAGGAUCGCAGGUUUUUGAGGCCAGCCUGGGCAAUUUAGUGAGAUCCAGUCUCAA